This 329-nucleotide long non-coding RNA is filed under the name Physcomitrium patens. RNAcentral's name for it is "long non-coding RNA (PPAT_LNC006918)". Lineage: Eukaryota; Viridiplantae; Streptophyta; Bryopsida; Funariales; Funariaceae. The record is from RNAcentral.
GAAGGGAGAAAAAUCCACUCACAACACUUUAACUUUGAACACCUAUAUUUUCAUCACAAAAACUCAAAAUCACACAAAUUCUUCAUCCAAAUUAUACCCAAAUCCCUAAACUUCCUGAUCCUUGCUUCCAAAGCUCAAAUUAUCUUGAAAAAAAAACCUUAAUUUCCAAUAAGGCCUCAAGCAGCCUCCUUGAAGUCCAUUGGGUAUGGCCUUUGACCAAUAGGAAUGAAGUUUUCCAUUCCUAGCCUUCAUCUAACCAUGCCUUAUUUUCAUCCCUCUCAAUAAACCUCAGAAUAGUUAAGAUUUUCUUCUUUAGGCUCUAGCCCCUC